AAUCGGUCCACCUCAGCCUGGGGACGCAGCCAGCCAAGCUCCAGUGUUGUCGGUGUCACAGCCACCACUCGGAGGUCCUGGGGCCCAUCGAUCACUAGCCAGGUUAAAGAGGAGGACUCAGGCUCAGAGAAGACCCAGAAUGUGACAGAUGCCCAUACCGAGAGCAGAAUGGAUGAGCUAAGAACAUGGCCAAGCCUGGCACAGGCCAACUUGGCACCACCAUCCUGGCUCUGAGUGAGGGAGAAAGUCUAGGGCUUCAACUGGAAAGCGGCGCCCUUGACAACACCAAGGAUCGGUUUGUAUUUAUUUACUCAGAGCAGGAGACAACUGCUGCCCUAAAAGCUCCUCUUAUCUCAAGUGUUUAUUUUAAUUCUUCUUUCCCUGAAAUUUCUUAAGAAACUUCCUUUUCGAAGUCCCACCCUUUCAAGAUUAGAGCUAUGUAAAUAAUAUAUACAGAGAAGAAGAGAGUGGGAGAAACACUUUAAAAUGUUAGCAGUGCUUGUUUUAGUGAGGAGCAGCCAGGAAUUGUUUUUCUUUUCUCUAGUUGCCAAAUUCUUGUCUCGUGAUUAAAGUAUUUUUAUAACAACAACAAAAAAAGAUGUUUAAACAGAAGAAAAAAUUCAAGCUAUCUUGGUUGCGCCACGAAGUUGAGAUUUCUGCUUCUGCUUUGGCUGGAGAGUGAGGAGAGGCAGAACAUAGUAGGGGGCUGGCCUGAGGAGCAUAAUGACAAGACAAAGCAAAGUGGAGUGAGGAUGACAGUUCCUCUGAGCUGUCCCCUUCUGUCCUAGUGCCUUCCGAGGCUUUAGGCCCAGGGAGUUGUUUAUUUUUACAGAGUCCUGGCUAAGCUGAUGAAGAUGAGGAUGACAUGGCCCACACCCCAUAUGGCAUUUGUGGGAUGAUGCAGGAAAACAUGAGUUGGAUGGUAGAAAUGUCAGAAGAUUUGCAGCUGGGGAAACGACCAUAUCUUAAAAGCCCAGUCUGCACAAAGGGAGGCCCCAAAUAAGUGACCACAAGGCUUUGUCCUUAGGGUGUUCCCUCUAAUGUUUUAAGAGCAAGUUGGAUGGCCAGGAGUGGUGGCUCAUGCCUGUAAUCCCAGCACUUUGGGAGGCUGAGGCGGGCAGAUCACUUGAGCCCAGGAGUUCAGGACCAGCCUGGGCAUGCAACAUGGAGAAACCCCGUCUCUACUAAAAAUACAAACAUUAGCAGGCUAAGGUGGUGCACACCUGUAGUCCCAGCUACUUGGGAGGCUGAGGUAAGAGGAUGACCUAAGCCUGGGAUGCAGAGGUU
RNAcentral lists this long non-coding RNA (1287 nucleotides) under Homo sapiens (human). Its description in RNAcentral is "HSALNT0104707". Lineage: Eukaryota; Metazoa; Chordata; Mammalia; Primates; Hominidae. The record is from RNAcentral.